UAGCGACAUAGUGAUAGCGAUAAAUACUUAACUACUCAAAACUGAGCUUAUUAAACGCCUAUCUGCCUCAAAAGAGAAGCGUAAAACAACUUUUAAUGCACGAGGAGCUAGGUGACCGAAAGCCAUCACAGUUCCUACGUUAUCUCGAAGGACUGGCAGGACCAUCAGUACCAAAAGAUUUUUUAGCCACUUUAUGGUCUAGUCGAUUACCUGAGACAAUUCAAACAGUAAUUGCUUCGCAGAUAGAUCUACCUUUAGAUAAUCUGACAGAAUUGGCC
RNAcentral lists this unclassified non-coding RNA (278 nucleotides) under Melitaea cinxia (Glanville fritillary). RNAcentral describes it as "misc RNA ENSMCXG00005003859.1". The record is from RNAcentral. Lineage: Eukaryota; Metazoa; Arthropoda; Insecta; Lepidoptera; Nymphalidae.